UUUCUGUUAUUUGCAAAUUAAAAUGGCAAAUACUUUGGAUAAAGGUUGGCAAUAGUAGUUGUGCAAUUUCCCAUUCCUCUCAAAUUUUUUCUCUUUGAAGAUGGCCUCGAACAAAUUGGUACAUU
Molecule: small nucleolar RNA, 125 nt
Organism: Elaeis guineensis (African oil palm)
Lineage: Eukaryota; Viridiplantae; Streptophyta; Magnoliopsida; Arecales; Arecaceae
Source: RefSeq, a predicted model, not a curated record